Molecule: ribosomal RNA, 464 nt
Filed under: uncultured bacterium
Lineage: Bacteria
Description: partial 16S ribosomal RNA
Rfam family: Bacterial small subunit ribosomal RNA
Source: RNAcentral
CUACGGGAUGCUGCAGUGGGGAAUAUUGGACAAUGGGGGAAACCCUGAUCCAGCAAUGCCGCGUGUGUGAAGAAGGCCUGCGGGUUGUAAAGCACUUUCGGUUGGGAGGGCUGCUUCUAGCACUAAUAUUGUUGGAAGUUGACGUUACCUUCAGAAGAAGCACCGGCUAACUCCGUGCCAGCAGCCGCGGUAAUACGGGGGUGCAAGCGUUAAUCGGAAUUACUGGGCGUAAAGCGCGCGUAGGCGGCUAGAUCAGUCGGGUGUGAAAGCCCCGGGCUUAACCUGGGAACUGCAUCCGAUACUGUCUAGCUUGAGUACAGGAGAGGAGAGUGGAAUUCCACAUGUAGCGGUGAAAUGCGUAGAUAUGUGGAGGAACACCAAUGGCGAAGGCAGCUCUCUGGCCUGAUACUGACGCUGAGGUGCGAAAGCGUGGGGAGCAAACAGGAUUAGAUACCCCUGUAGUC